UUCGGGGAAGUUUGUAGCUCUAUGGU
This 26-nucleotide non-coding RNA is filed under the name Homo sapiens (human). The record is from RNAcentral. Lineage: Eukaryota; Metazoa; Chordata; Mammalia; Primates; Hominidae.